Molecule: ribosomal RNA, 493 nt
Filed under: uncultured bacterium
Lineage: Bacteria
Description: partial 16S ribosomal RNA
Rfam family: Bacterial small subunit ribosomal RNA
Source: RNAcentral
ACGCACGCUGGCGGCGUGCUUAACACAUGCAAGUCGAACGGAAAGGCCUGCUUUCCCUUGUGGAUUGCGGGUGCUCGAGUGGCGAACGGGUGAGUAACACGUGAGUGAUCUGCCCCCAACUUGGGUAUAAGCCUGGGAAACUGGGUCUAAUUCCCGAUAGGACUGCAGGGUGGUGCCUGUGGUGGAAAACGAUUUUCUAGUGGUUGGGGAUGAGCUCGCGGCCUAUCAGCUUGUUGGUGGGGUAAUGGCCUACCAAGGCGGCGACGGGUAGCCGGCCUGAGAGGGUGGACGGCCACAUUGGGACUGAGAUACGGCCCAGACUCCUACGGGAGGCAGCAGUGGGGAAUAUUGCACAAUGGGCGGAAGCCUGAUGCAGCGACGCCGCGUGGGGGAUGACGGCCUUCGGGUUGUAAACUCCUUUCGACCGCGAGGAAGCCACCUGGUUGGAAGGGUGGUGACGGUAGUGGUAGAAGAAGCACCGGCUAACUACGUG